Molecule: ribosomal RNA, 408 nt
Filed under: Staphylococcus aureus
Lineage: Bacteria; Bacillati; Bacillota; Bacilli; Caryophanales; Staphylococcaceae
Description: bacterial SSU rRNA
Rfam family: Bacterial small subunit ribosomal RNA
Source: RNAcentral
UUUUAUGGAGAGUUUGAUCCUGGCUCAGGAUGAACGCUGGCGGCGUGCCUAAUACAUGCAAGUCGAGCGAACGGACGAGAAGCUUGCUUCUCUGAUGUUAGCGGCGGACGGGUGAGUAACACGUGGAUAACCUACCUAUAAGACUGGGAUAACUUCGGGAAACCGGAGCUAAUACCGGAUAAUAUUUUGAACCGCAUGGUUCAAAAGUGAAAGACGGUCUUGCUGUCACUUAUAGAUGGAUCCGCGCUGCAUUAGCUAGUUGGUAAGGUAACGGCUUACCAAGGCAACGAUGCAUAGCCGACCUGAGAGGGUGAUCGGCCACACUGGAACUGAGACACGGUCCAGACUCCUACGGGAGGCAGCAGUAGGGAAUCUUCCGCAAUGGGCGAAAGCCUGACGGAGCAACGC